This 2822-nucleotide unclassified non-coding RNA is filed under the name Hevea brasiliensis (rubber tree). The record is from RNAcentral. Lineage: Eukaryota; Viridiplantae; Streptophyta; Magnoliopsida; Malpighiales; Euphorbiaceae.
ACAGACUCGAAAAAAAUAUAUAAAUCUAAAAUAUAUACUCAACAAUUUGUAUUGACAAUUGGAAUAGAUAUGUAAUAUGCCAGAAUUCAUUGCAGAUGAUUGUAGAAGGAUAUCAUACUUCCGGACAAAAUCUUUGAUUUCUAUUUUGUACAAGAAACAUUAAACAAGAUUGCUUCCGGGUGGCCCUGGAAAACAGAAAAUCAGCUCACCAACAGUUCUCUUUGCAACUCCAAAAAUCCAGUGUUCUUCCUUCACCAGGCGAACAGCUUCUUCUUCUUCUUCUUUUUCUCAAUGUAAGCCACGAGCUCCUCUUGUCGAGCAAAUGAGUCCUCCAGAGCCUGAACAAGGAAGAGUAAUUGAAGGAAAUCAGAAAAAGUUCUAUUCAAGUAUUUCAGUUUUCUAGUUCUGUUUUUAUAUCGUUAAGAAUUGUAUCUAGUACUCUAGAGAGAAGCAGCAGUUACUGAUUGCAAGGGUAGAGCAAUAUCAGAUAAAAGAAAUAUAAAUACUUUCCCUUCUCCUUCAAAUUUGUGACGGCAUUAAUUCAAUUUGGAAGGCUUGAGAAACAAUUAAAUAGAGAAUGAGGCAAAAUAAAAGGAUAACUGUUACACCAAACAGAAACACAGGUCUUGGUUGUUAGUAACAAGUUAAUGCUCUCGAAAAAUCAUAAAGUAAUAAACGUUUUAAGAAAAUUGUUGCAGACAGCAAGUUAAUGUUAUAUGUAAUAAUAUAAUGUUGGUUGCAACUAUGCCAACUUGAGUUUCUGCCACUGCUGAGUUCAAUCCGACACAUAAGAAAUUCAUGGAAACAAGUACCUUCUUGGUUGCCAUAAGCUCUUGCUCUAAGGUAUCAACCCUGCUUAUAGCAGCAUUCAACAUCUCCUCCUUCUCAAGUGUCAUAGCAGGUUUCAUGCUCAGAACUUUCACUCUCUCUUCCAAUUGAUCCACACGUUUGAUGACAGUCAUGUAAUCUGCACUGGAGAUAGUAGAUUCAAGUGACUGCUUUGCUCGGUCUUUAACCUCUAUCUCAUCACAAUAUACAGGACUGGAAUAGAUGGUGGCAUUGGUCAGCUUCUUGGGCAUGUUGCGUGUUACUUUAAUCAUGGUGACAAUGCCCAUAACAAAAGCCAUGACACCAGUAAAAAUUGGAGUGCCCGUUCCUUCAGGAACCUUGCAACCAUCAUACUUAGUGUAACAUUCUGCUGCUUUGGAAAUAACAUACUUAUCAUCUUCUGCCAAUUUUUCCCAAGUCAUAUCCAUAGUCUUCUCAAUUAUAGGGCCAUAGUCCUUAAACUUUGAAGAAACUUGUGCAAGGAUAGGUGCGACUUGUGAAUACUCUAAACUUGGAACAUUUGGAGCUGACACCUCCAUGGAAGAUUCAUGUCCCUUGGAGCUCACAGUCUCAUCCUCAGCAAUUGUCUUCUCCUCAGGAUUUUGAGACCCACUUUUCUUCGUGCAUUUAUGAUCACCAUUUUGAACCAUUUUCAAUAUCUCUGGGUCUUUCCAAGGGCCCUUAUCAGAACGCAUACAACCUCCUUGAUCAGCACAAGUGCAGGUACCUCCCAAAAACUCUGGCAACUCACUGGCAUCAAUGAUCUCAAGUAACUUGCUCUGAUAUUUAUUGCCAAGAACGUGAAUCUUUGCUGUAGUCUUAGGGUCAAGGAAAGACUUAAUAGUGCUCCACAGCAUUCUAAAUCCAGAACCGGCAUUGAUUAUGAACAUGCGAUUCAAGGUCUCCGGAUAGUUGUCACCGUCAAUCUUCUGAAGGCUAGUGAUAAGAUCCCUUGCUGUUUUGUUAAGACUUUUGAGGCCCACUCCUUGGACAUCCAAGAUGGUUGUACUUUGAUCAAUGUGUUUCUUUGCUGCAAGUGAACAAGCUGGAAACUUGACAUUAAAAGUUCUCUCAAACUCCUGCACAUGGUAUUUGACAUAACGGUCCAUUGUUGUAACUUGCAAUAGCUUGGUGGAAUCUACUUGGCCUAGUCUUUCAAUGUACACAGGUCUUCCUUCCUUAUCUACACCAUGAUGCCCUUGGGGAUAAUAUUGCAAGACUUCAUUGAUUUCAUUGAAUUGAAAAUCCUCCAUGACAGUGUCAGCACCGAAUUCCUUCCUCCAUUGAAUCAUGUCAGACCACAUCUGCUUUGUUUUCUCAAUAUCGAAUUUCCUUGCCCUCAAAAACCUGAGCAUCAAAUGAUAAUCAUCAUGUGCUGCGGGUAGGAGUUCCUCCAAUACAAGUACUUGGCGGAAAGCAUCAACCACCUUCAACUCCUCCGCGUCGUGGACAUCCUCAAUUUCAAUGGACAUUACUUUGCUACUUCUCCUACCCCUUCUGGUCAAAGAAUUCCUAAAUUUAUUGGAGGCAUUGAUGGCUUUUUGUUUAAAAGACUCAAUCCUUGUUUUCUUCUCAUCCCCAAGAUGCUCCAUCUCAGACGCUGUUGUGGGAGAUGGAGGACCAGAGACAGCAGCCAUCUGGUGGGAAGCGUAAAAUUGUUUGUGGUUUUAAUAGGUGACAAAGAAAAAGUGAAGCAAAAUCAAGCACUCAUGCCAGAACGCCACAACCACAGCCCUUAGUCCAGUGCCUCUGCAGGGAAAAGGGAAAGUGGAAGAUAGGAUACAAAUAAUGAGGGGGGAAAUGUGAGUGAGGCGCGCAAGAAGCGAAAGGAGUGGACAAAUUUUGGCAAUAAUAUUUGCCUCUUUGAUCUUCUUGACCGAGUCUCCAUUCCAUUUUUGCUGUUUUUAGGCAUAGCAAUUCUUACAAACAGAGAGGAAAUGCGUUCACUCCAAUUCCUAACAGCUAUUUUGCCCGUACAAUAAUCUAACGGUUUC